Molecule: transfer RNA, 65 nt
Filed under: Phratora vulgatissima
Lineage: Eukaryota; Metazoa; Arthropoda; Insecta; Coleoptera; Chrysomelidae
Description: tRNA-Phe
Rfam family: tRNA
About the family: Transfer RNA (tRNA) molecules are approximately 80 nucleotides in length. Their secondary structure includes four short double-helical elements and three loops (D, anti-codon, and T loops).
Source: RNAcentral
ACUUAAAUAGCUUAAAUAAAGAGCAUAGCAUUGAAGAUGCUAGAGUGAUAAUAUAUCUUUGAGUA